CAGUCGCCGCGGGAAUACGUAGGGUGCAAGCGUUAAUCGGAAUUACUGGGCGUAAAGCGUGCGCAGGCGGUGUUGUAAGACUGAUGUGAAAUCCCCGGGCUCAACCUGGGAACUGCAUUGGUGACUGCAACGCUGGAGUGCGGCAGAGGGGGAUGGAAUUCCGCGUGUAGCAGUGAAAUGCGUAGAUAUGCGGAGGAACACCGAUGGCGAAGGCAAUCCCCUGGGCCUGCACUGACGCUCAUGCACGAAAACGUGGGGAGCAAACAGGAUUAGAUACCCCCGUAGUCCCUGUCUCUUAUAC
RNAcentral lists this ribosomal RNA (301 nucleotides) under uncultured bacterium. RNAcentral's name for it is "partial 16S ribosomal RNA". It matches the Rfam family "Bacterial small subunit ribosomal RNA", at positions 509 to 807 of the family's 1533-position model. The record is from RNAcentral.